Molecule: ribosomal RNA, 223 nt
Filed under: uncultured bacterium
Lineage: Bacteria
Description: partial 16S ribosomal RNA
Rfam family: Bacterial small subunit ribosomal RNA
Source: RNAcentral
GAUGAACGCUAGCUACAGGCUUAACACAUGCAAGUCGCGGGGCAGCAUAUAGAUAGCUUGCUAUUUAUGAUGGCGACCGGCGCACGGGUGAGUAACGCGUAUCCAACCUUCCCCAUAGUAGGGUAUAGCCCGGCGAAAGUCGGAUUAAUCCCCUAUGUUGUUUGAAGCGGACAUCUAAUUCAAACCAAAGAUUUAUCGCUAUGGGAUGGGGAUGCGUCUGAUU